This 470-nucleotide ribosomal RNA is filed under the name uncultured bacterium. RNAcentral describes it as "bacterial SSU rRNA". It matches the Rfam family "Bacterial small subunit ribosomal RNA", at positions 32 to 518 of the family's 1533-position model. The record is from RNAcentral.
AACGCUGGCGGCACGCUUAACACAUGCAAGUCGAACGGAGUUGUAUUAGCUUGCUGAUAUAACUUAGUGGCGACGGGUGAGUAACACGUGAGCAACCUGCCUCGAGAGUGGAGUAAUGUCUGGAAACGGACACUAAUACCGCAUGACAUAACCGGACCGCAUGAUCUGGUUAUCAAAGAUUUAUCGCUCGAAGAUGGGCUCGCGUCCGAUUAGCUGGUUGGUGAGGUAACGGCUCACCAAGGCGACGAUCGGUAGCCGUACUGAGAGGUAGAACGGCCACAUUGGGACUGAGACACGGCCCAGACUCCUACGGGAGGCAGCAGUGGGGAAUAUUGCACAAUGGAGGAAACUCUGAUGCCAGCGAUGCCGCGUGAGGGAAGAAGGCAUUUUUGUUGUAAACCUCUGUUAUCAGGGACGAUAAUGACGGUACCUGAGGAGGAAGCUCCGGCUAACUACGUGCCAGCCGCGGC